RNAcentral lists this ribosomal RNA (116 nucleotides) under Trachymyrmex cornetzi. Lineage: Eukaryota; Metazoa; Arthropoda; Insecta; Hymenoptera; Formicidae. The record is from RNAcentral.
AGAAAUAAACUUAAUACAUACAUACCAGUUCUCGUCCGAGCACUGAAGUCAAGCAAUGUUGAGCAUGGUUAAUACUUAAAUGGGUGACGACUUGGGAACAUCGCGUGAUACUCCUU